CAGGUCAGAUUGGAUAAUAAAUCAAAAGACAUAAAUUAAAUUCAUAUAACAAUUGGAUCAGGUUGGAUCAGUUAGAACUUAAUAAACUCAAAUCUGAUUCAAAAAAAAAAAUCAAACGGACCUAAAUUUGAAACCUGACAGAUCCUUACAUUAGAUUGGAUCCGAUGAAAUUGGAUGGGAUCAUGAGCUACAGCAGAUCGGAUCAAAACAUAAAUCAACCCGACCUAUUUGGAGCCGUACUAGUACUACUACUAGGACAGUAAAAGUGGAUUGGAUCAAAACAUAAAUCAAUCUGGUACAGUAAAAAUGUCGCGGUACAUCAACCGCUUGUCGCAUUUGUCUUGUCGCCCGCUGUUCGCCUCCCUUCAUAUAAUACACAGUCUUUGUUACUCCCCAAUACCGUAACAAAACCAAAAUUCCGGUAAGUCAGGGAUUUCUGGUUGCCCCGUUCUAAGAUCAUCGUUCGCCUCCCUUCAUAUAAUACACAGUCUUUGUUACUCCCCCAUACCGUAACAAAACCAAAAUUCCGGUAAGUCAGGGAUUUCUGGUUGCCCCGUUCUAAGAUCAUCCGGUAGGUCCAUGCCUCAGCAAGAAGCGGUCUGAUGCUAGCAAAACACCAUUCCCUGCCAUCGCAUACAUUGUCACAACUUUCCAGUAUUUCCAGAAACAAAAACCAGCGCCCCGCUGGGGAAAACGAUCAUCUCUGAUUACUUCCAUAUCACAACUUUAUCCUGCGCGCACAUUAUAUCGGCCACGUUCAUCUUGAAGACCAGAAUAUAUAUUUUUAUCUCAUCAUCUGACUUGAAGAUUAGAAUUUAUAUGAAUUUCAAGUCGAACAGUAGCAGUGGAGUUCGAUAUGAACCACAAGAUGCGAUCCAUCUCACCCUGCAAGACCACCGUGCUAGAGAAAAUAAACGGACUUAAUCUU
Elaeis guineensis (African oil palm) is the source of this 928-nucleotide non-coding RNA. The record is from RefSeq and is a predicted model, not a curated record. Lineage: Eukaryota; Viridiplantae; Streptophyta; Magnoliopsida; Arecales; Arecaceae.